RNAcentral lists this ribosomal RNA (716 nucleotides) under Melolontha furcicauda. Its description in RNAcentral is "partial large subunit ribosomal RNA". It matches the Rfam family "Eukaryotic large subunit ribosomal RNA", at positions 644 to 1285 of the family's 3401-position model. Lineage: Eukaryota; Metazoa; Arthropoda; Insecta; Coleoptera; Scarabaeidae. The record is from RNAcentral.
GGGACCCGUCCUUGAAACACGGACCAAGGUGUUGGGCCCCCUUUCCGAAACACACGGACCAGGGGUUUUGUUAAAUGCGUAAGUAAACCGUUCUUGAUUAGGCUGUGGAGGGAAAGAGAAUGCAUUGGUUCGAUUCUUCGGUCCGGACGCUGUUGAAAGAGCGCAGCAACGAGGUCUUAACAGGCACUCAUAGCGCAUUUACCGGUACCCGAAAAAUGGUGAUCUAUGCCUGACCAAGACGAAGCCAGAGGAAACUCUGGUGGAGGUCUGUAACGGUUCUGACGUGCAAAUCGAUCGUCAUACUUGGGUAUAGGGGCGAAAGACUAAUCGAACCAUCUUGUAGCUGGUUCCUUCCGAAGUUUCCCUCAGGAUAGCAGGGGUGGCCAACCGAAGUUUCUCUUUGUUCCGGUGAAGCGAAAGGAUUGAGGGCUUGGGGUCCAAAAGAACUUCAUCCAAUCCCCAACUUUUAAUGGGUCCCAAGACCUAUUUUCCUCCUUGGAUGGGUGAUCAUCACAAUAACCCUCCCUUGUGGGCCCUUUUGGUAAACAAAACUGGCGCCGGGGUAUGAACCAAACGUUGAAUUAAAUCGUCCAAAAUUACGCUAACAAACCCAUUGAAAGUGGUUAAUUCUUCACUCAGCAGGACGUUGACCUGGGAUGUUGAAUCCCCCUACGAGUGGGGUAAAACAUGAGUCGGAUCCGCUAAGGAGUGUGUAA